GCGGUAGGCCCCUUUCGGGGGGUACACGAGCGGCGAACGGGUGAGUAACACGUGAGCAACCUGCCCUUCUCUUUGGGAUAACCAGUGGAAACGCUGGCUAAUACCGAAUAUGACCGCCUUGGGCAUCCGGGGUGGUGGAAAGUUCCGGCGGAGAAGGAUGGGCUCGCGGCCUAUCAGCUUGUUGGUGAGGUAAUGGCUCACCAAGGCGACGACGGGUAGCCGGCCUGAGAGGGUGACCGGCCACACUGGGACUGAGACACGGCCCAGACUCCUACGGGAGGCAGCAGUGGGGAAUAUUGGACAAUGGGCGAAAGCCUGAUCCAGCAACGCCGCGUGAGGGAUGACGGCCUUCGGGUUGUAAACCUCUUUCAGCACCGACGAAGCGAAAGUGACGGUAGGUGCAGAAGAAGGACCGGCCAACUACGUGCCAGCAGCCGCGGUAAUACGUAGGGUCCGAGCGUUGUCCGGAAUUAUUGGGCGUAAAGGGCUCGUAGGCGGUCUGUCGCGUCGGGAGUGAAAACUCGGGGCUUAACCCCGAGCGUGCUUCCGAUACGGGCA
Molecule: ribosomal RNA, 558 nt
Filed under: Aeromicrobium halotolerans
Lineage: Bacteria; Bacillati; Actinomycetota; Actinomycetes; Propionibacteriales; Nocardioidaceae
Description: bacterial SSU rRNA
Rfam family: Bacterial small subunit ribosomal RNA
Source: RNAcentral